RNAcentral lists this unclassified non-coding RNA (289 nucleotides) under uncultured fungus. RNAcentral's name for it is "partial contains 5.8S rRNA, ITS2 and 28S rRNA". It matches the Rfam family "Eukaryotic large subunit ribosomal RNA", at positions 668 to 961 of the family's 3401-position model. Lineage: Eukaryota; Fungi. The record is from RNAcentral.
AAGGAGUCUAACAUAUAUGCGAGUAUUUGGGUGGCAAACUCGUGUGCGCAAUGAAAGUGAACGUAGGUGCCACGCGCAAGAUGCACCAUCGACCGAUCUGGAACUUUAGUGAUGGAUUUGAGUAAGAGCAUAUAUGCUGGGACCCGAAAGAUGGUGAACUAUGCCUGAAUAGGGCGAAGCCAGAGGAAACUCUGGUGGAGGCUCGUAGCGAUUCUGACGUGCAAAUCGAUCGUCAAAUUUGGGUAUAGGGGCGAAAGACUAAUCGAACCAUCUAGUAGCUGGUUCCUGC